AUGCCGUACUGCGAUGCUUGUCGUCUAGGCAAACACACUAGGCUCCCAUUUGUUUCUUCCCAUUCGCAAACUACUUUUCCCUUUGAACUUUGUCACUGUGAUGUAUGGACGAGUCCCGUCUUGAGUGUAUCCGGUUAUCAAUACUAUUUAGUUAUUCUCGAUGAUUUCACUCAUUAUGUGUGGACCUUUCCGGUUCGUCGCAAGUCCGACGUUCAUCGCCUACUCGUUCUCUUCUACGCCUAUGUCCAAACACAAUUUUCUCGCCCCAUUCUUGCCUUUCAGACCGAUAAUGGUCGCGAAUUCGAUAAUCACGCCAACCGCACCCUUUUCGCGUCCCACGGCACACUUCUACGCCUCACAUGCCCAUACACUUCUCAACAAAACGGCAAGGCCGAGCGUAUUCUCCGCACCCUUAACGACGGCGUUCGCACCCUUCUUCUCCAUGCCUCCAUGCCGCCACGUUGGUGGGCUGAAGCCCUAGCUACUUCUUCCUACCUCCUAAACCGGCGUCCAUGCAAACCUCGCCUCAUCACCACACCGUUCGAGUUGCUUUUUGGCCGCCCACCUGAGUUCCGUCACUUGCGCGUGUUCGGAUGCCUAUGCUAUCCCAAUCUCAUCGCUACGACACCUCACAAACUCUCCCCACGUUCGGUCGCAUGUGUAUUCCUUGGCUACCCAGACGAUCGAAAAGGAUAUCGCUGCUACGAUCCAAUCUCGCGGCGUAUCAUUUUUUCUCGGCAUGUUACGUUUGUGGAGUCUGUUUUUCCAUUCAAAACGCUGCCUGAUUCAUCCUCUAUCUCCUCGGAUCUGCCAGAUAAUCCCGCAUCGCUUGAUUACGUAGAUCCCGCCGCCCCUGCAUGGGCGCCGCCCGAGCCGGCCGCUUCAUGCGCGCCACUUGGCUCGGUACCUACCUCCUCGAUUCCAACUAACCCCGCCUCCCCGCCCAUGCCAUCCGGCCCCACGUGCAUGCAAAACUGCCCCGCCUCCCCGCCCAUGCAGCAGCGCCCUUCUCGGUCAACUGCACGUGAGUCUCCUCCCACUCCACCAGCCUCACCACAUGCCUCCUCACGCAUGCAGCCAUGCAGUUCACAAUCCCAUGAGCCACCGGACCCAUCCUGCCCGCGCAUGCAGCAACACAGUUCACAGCGCACUCCGUCCUCCAGCUCUCCAACUCCCCCCGCUGCGCCCGCAUCACACGUCCAUCCGAUGCUUACGCGCGCCCAUCACGGCAUUUUUCAGCCAAACCCACGUUACGCCAACCUGCAGGCGACGACCAUCUCUCCGCUUCCAUCCUCUGUCCGUGCUGCUCUGAAAGAUCCAAAUUGGCGCGCGGCUAUGCAGGUGGAAUACGAUGCUCUCAUGGCUAACUCUACCUGGACACUUGUACCACGGCCGCCUCGCACUCAUAUCGUCUCCGGCAAGUGGGUUUUCCGGAUCAAAACCAACGCCGACGGCUCGCUGGAUCGCUAUAAAGCCCGUUGGGUUGUCCGUGGUUUCGCUCAACGUCCGGGCAUCGAUUUUGGGGAGACUUUUUCUCCGGUGGUCAAACCGGCAACGAUUCGCACCAUUCUCACCUUAGCAUGCUCACGCGGCUGGCCUGUUCACCAGCUUGACGUGAAAAAUGCUUUCCUCCACGGCGUUCUUGAUGAGCAGGUCUACUGCUAUCAGCCAGCUGGGUUCGUCGACGACACUCGUCGUGAUCAUGUAUGUCGACUCUCUAAGUCGUUGUACGGCCUCAAGCAGGCGCCACGAGCCUGGUUUCACCGCUUCGCCACCUUCGCCGCCACCAUCGGGUUCACCGCGUCCCGCUCGGACGCCUCACUCUUCCUACUACGGCGGGGCGGCGAUACUGCUUACCUACUGUUGUACGUCGACGACAUCGUCCUUGCUGCUUCAUCGACGACCCUUCUUCGACACAUCGUCGAUCAGCUUCAGCGCGAGUUCGCCAUGACGGACAUGGGCGAUCUUCACUACUUUCUCGGCAUCCGGGUUCAUCGCACGGCGCGUGGGUUCUUCCUCAACCAAUCCCAGUACGCCGACGAGCUUCUUCAACGAGCCGGCAUGUCUCAGUGUCAUCCUGCAUCUACCCCUGUUGAUACGUCACCCAAGGUUCCUGCUGAUGCUGGCUCCCCGGUGGAUGAUCCGUCUGAGUACCGUAGUCUUGCUGGCGGGCUUCAGUACCUUACCAUGACGCGCCCUGACUUGGCCUACGCAGUUCAGCAGGCAUGCCUACACAUGCAUGAUCCUCGUGACUGCCAUCUCGCCAUCAUCAAGCGCAUCUUGCGGUAUGUUCGUGGCACCUCCACCUAUGGCCUCCUUCUGUCAUCUUCCGCCUCUACGGAGAUCGUGGCUUACUCCGAUGCGGAUUGGGCCGGCUGCCCGGACACUCGACGAUCUACCUCGGGCUAUUGCGUCUACCUCGGCGGCACACUCGUGAGUUGGUCCUCCAAGAGGCAAACCACUGUCUCUCGCUCCAGCGCGGAAGCAGAGUAUCGCGCCGUCGCCAACGCCGUUGCUGACUGCGUGUGGCUACGGCAACUCCUUGAUGAGCUUGGUUGUUCUCUCCCGAAGGCCACGAUUGUGUUUUGUGAUAACAUCUCGGCGGUGUACAUGUCCACCAAUCCAGUGCAUCACAGGCGGACGAAACACAUCGAGCUGGACAUUCAUUUUGUCCGGGAGAAGGUGGCUCUCGGCGACUUCCGGAUUGUACAUGUUCCCACCACUCAACAACUCGCAGAUAUUAUGACCAAAGGCCUCCCGGCAGCAGCUUUUCAAGCCUUCCGUUCCAGUCUAUGUGUCUUGCCAAGCGACGACAGCUCGACUGCGGCGGGGUGUUAG
This 2838-nucleotide ribosomal RNA is filed under the name Triticum aestivum (bread wheat). Its description in RNAcentral is "partial small subunit ribosomal RNA". The record is from RNAcentral. Lineage: Eukaryota; Viridiplantae; Streptophyta; Magnoliopsida; Poales; Poaceae.